UACGAAGGGGGCUAGCGUUGCUCGGAAUCAUUGGGCGUAAAGCGCGUGUAGGCGGUCCGGUAAGUCCGCUGUGAAAGUCGGGGGCUCAACCCUCGGAUGCCGGUGGAUACUGUCGGGCUUGAGUACGGAAGAGGCGAGUGGAAUUCCUGGUGUAGCGGUGAAAUGCGCAGAUAUCAGGAGGAACACCAAUUGCGAAGGCAGCUCGCUGGGACGUUACUGACGCUGAGACGCGAAAGCGUGGGGAGCGAACAGG
Molecule: ribosomal RNA, 253 nt
Filed under: uncultured bacterium
Lineage: Bacteria
Description: partial 16S ribosomal RNA
Rfam family: Bacterial small subunit ribosomal RNA
Source: RNAcentral